Molecule: ribosomal RNA, 507 nt
Filed under: uncultured bacterium
Lineage: Bacteria
Description: partial 16S ribosomal RNA
Rfam family: Bacterial small subunit ribosomal RNA
Source: RNAcentral
ACGAACGCUGGCGGCGUGCUUCACACCUGCAAGUCGAACGGGCCUUGUCCCCUUUUUUUUUGGGGGUGGGGUUAGUGGCGAACGGGUGAGUAACACGUGAGUAACCUGCCCCUCACUUCUGGAUAACCGCUUGAAAGGGUGGCUAAUACGGGGUGUUCUGGCCUGCUCGCAUGGGUGGGUUUGGAAAGAUUCGACCGGUUUUGGUUGUUUUGGUGGGGGAUGGGCUCGCGGCCUAUCAGCUUGUUGGUGGGGUGAUGGCCUGCCAAGGCUUUGACGGGUAGCCGGCCUGAGAGGGUGGGCGGUCACACUGGGACUGAGACACGGCCCAGACUCCUACGGGAGGCAGCAGUGGGGAAUAUUGCACAAUGGGCGCAAGCCUGAUGCAGCGACGCCGCGUGAGGGAUGGAGGCCGUCGGGUUGUGAACCUCUUUCGCCAGUGAAGAAGGUCCUGCUCUUUGUGGUGGGGUUGACGGUAGCUGGGUUAAUGAAGCGCCGGCUAACUACGUG